This is a non-coding RNA of Pelobates cultripes (western spadefoot toad), 959 nucleotides long. The record is from the annotation of a GenBank genome assembly. Lineage: Eukaryota; Metazoa; Chordata; Amphibia; Anura; Pelobatidae.
GAAAAAGUUAUAUAUCGAAUAAAGAAAUAACAGGCAAGGAAACCAUGAUUACGUCAAUUUACAUAUAUUGUAUAGUUAUAUGUUGUCACAUUACCAUGACUUUGCCCAUAAGAUGUUGCAUCUGGCACCAGGACAUUAACAGCAGAUCCUUUGAGUCCUGCAAGUGGCGAGGUGGGGCCUCCAAGGAUCGGAUUUGUUGUUCCAGCAAAUUCCACAAAUGCUCAAUCAGAUUGAGAUCUGGGAAAUUUGGAGGCCAAGGCAACAACUUCAACUCUUUGUCAUGUUCCUCAAAAUAUUCCUGAUCAAUCUCUGCACUGUGUCAGGGUACAUUAGCCUGCUGAAAGAGGUCACUGCAUCAUGGAACACCAUUGUUAUGACAGGGUGUACAUUGUCUGCAACAAUUUCUUGGUAGGUGGUACAUGUCCAAAUAACAUCCACAUGAAUGUCAGGAUACAAAGUUUCCAAGCAGAACAUUACCCAAAGUAUAGCGCUGCCUCUGCUGGCCUGCCUUCUUCCAUUAGUGCUUCCUGCUGCCCAGAUAAGUGACGCACACGUACCUUGUCAUCCCUCUAAUCUAAAAGAAAAUGUGAUUCAUCAGACCAAGUAACCUUCUGCCAUUGCUCCACAGUCCAGUUCUGAUGAUCACAUCCCCAUUGAACGCACUUUUGUCAGUGGACAUAGAUCAUGAGCACUGUAAACGGUCUGCAGUUAUGCAGCAAAACAGAGAUGCACUGUGUGUUGACAACUUUCUAUCAAGGUCAGCAUUUAGUUUUUCAGCAAUUCCAGCUACAGUAACUCUACAGUUUGUGUGAUCAGAAAAGCUAGCAUUCGCUCACUAGGUGCAUCAAAGGAUCCUUGGCCAUCCUUAACUUCGGUUAACCAGUUGCCUUUCUUUGUCCCAUUUUUUAGUAGAUGGGACAUCCUACAAGACUUGCCAUUUUGGAGAUGCUCUGGGCCAG